CCAAUCGAACCCGGAGAUAGCUGGUUCUCCUCGAAAUAGCUUUAGGGCUAGCCUCAUACAAGUCUGCCGGAGGUAGAGCACUGAAUUUCCGCGGGGGCGUCAAAGCCUACCAAAGAAUAUCAAACUCCGAAUGCCGGACAGAUGGUGUAUGGGAGUCAGACUGUACGAGAUAAGUUGGACAGUCAAAAGGGAAAGAGCCCAGACCGCCGGCUAAGGUCCCAAAGUGGGUGUUAAGUGGAAAAGGAUGUGGGAUCUCUAAGACAACCAGGAUGUUGGCUCAGAAGCAGCCAUUCAUUAAAAGAGUGCGUAACAGCUCACUGGUCGAGAGGUCCUGCGCCGAAAAUGUCCGGGGCUGAAACACCACACCGAAGCCGCGGAACCCGUAAGGGUUGGUAGAGGAGCAUUCUUAGGGGAGCGAAGCAUUACCGUAAGGGGAUGUGGACUGCUAAGAAGAGAGAAUGCCGGAAUGAGUAGCGAGAGCAAGGUGAGAAUCCUUGCGGCCGAAUAUCCAAGGUUUCCAGAGUAAAGCUGAUCUGCUCUGGGUAAGUCGGGGCCUAAGGAGAGGCAGAGAUGCGUAUCCGAUGGACAGCAGGUUUAAGAUUCCUGCACCCCUUGUUAUCAGAACUGCGGGGACACGGGAAGGGAAGCAGAGCCGGGAAUGGAAAGCCCGGUGCAAGCGAAGGAGUCGCAGGGUUGGAAAAUCCGCCCUGCAUGAGACGAAGGCGUGAUGCGGAGCGAAAUGAAGUAGUGAAGCUGCGGCCCCUUCCUGUCGAGAAAAGCCGCUAUCGUGUAGCAAGGGCCCGUACCGUAAACCGACACAGGUGGAUGAGGAGAGGAUCCUAAGGCCGGCGGGAGAAGUGUUGUUAAGGAACUCGGCAAAAUGACUCCGUAACUUCGGGAGAAGGAGUGCUGCGCAAGCAGCCGCAGAGAAAUGGCCCAAGCAACUGUUUAGCAAAAACACAGGUCUAUGCGAAACCGAAAGGUGAGGUAUAUGGGCUGACGCCUGCCCGGUGCUGGAAGGUUAAGAGGAGAGGUUAGCGCAAGCGAAGCUUUGAAUUUAAGCCCCAGUAAACGGCGGCCGUAACUAUAACGGUCCUAAGGUAGCGAAAUUCCUUGUCGGGUAAGUUCCGACCCGCACGAAAGG
RNAcentral lists this ribosomal RNA (1144 nucleotides) under human gut metagenome. RNAcentral's name for it is "bacterial LSU rRNA". It matches the Rfam family "Bacterial large subunit ribosomal RNA", at positions 829 to 1999 of the family's 2925-position model. The record is from RNAcentral.